Leptopilina boulardi is the source of this 1362-nucleotide long non-coding RNA. RefSeq lists it as uncharacterized. The transcript has 6 exons. Lineage: Eukaryota; Metazoa; Arthropoda; Insecta; Hymenoptera; Figitidae. The record is from RefSeq and is a predicted model, not a curated record.
UUAUAUACUAUUCCCAGUUGAAAAAUCUUGUACAAGAUCAUGUACAUUUUCUUGUUCAAGUUCAAGUACUUGCACAUUCGCGUGAUCUCGUACAAGAGCAGAAAACGAACCUGUAAAAAGAAUUGGUACGAAGUACAUGAACAUGUACAGGUACAUGCAAGUGUAUUUGUUUGUGACUUUGUGUGUGCAAAAUUACAAAUCGAUUCGUUUCGAUUUACAAAAGUUAUUGUGUCAACAACAUGUUAUAUCUAUAUCUACUCAGGGCACCUCAAAACGUAAAGAUUUCAUGGAAAUAGAAAAAGUCAAUUUUCAUUCUCAUGAGAAUGUAAAAAUUGUACUGUGCUAUACGUAUAAUGGAAAUCAUUCGAGAUUAUUUUUGCAAUGAAAAGUAACAUUUUUAAUGCCGUUCUUUUUGUCGAUAAAAAAAUACAUAUAAAUUAUCACAAAAAACUAUAAAAAUGUGUCUAGUAUAAAUGAGACAUUUCAUAUGAGAAGACGGGGUCAUGUCUCGGAUUUUUCUCAAAAUUCGUGCAAUUCAACUAUAGAUUUACUCGACAAAAUUCGUCGCAACUGUGAAAAUAAAUUUCUCAAACGACUCGUUUCUAGUUUUGUUUUAUACUUUGUAAAAUUAUAAAUACAAAAGUAGAUUUGAAUAUUCAACAUGAAACUAACAAUUUUUGCAAUUUGUUUCAUUUUGUGUGUUAUUAUUAAUAAUUAUGAAUUGGUUUCUGCUGGUAGAGAUACUGAUACUAUUUUGGGUUCAAUAGAUAAAUGCAUAACUAGUAAAAAAAUCAUUGUUUUCAAAGGAAAUUAAAUAUUAUAAAUGUAAAGGUGGAUUUAGAAGAUUUUACAAUUUAGAAGAAGCACAAGAGAUAUGUAUUAAAAAGGGGGGAUGAUGGUCGGUCCCACUGUUAUAAAUAUGAUUUUGCUGUUGGUUCAAAAAAAAGGGAAGAUAUUGAAGAGAAAUGCAUAGUGGAAAAAAUCCAUCGUUUUUUGUAUGUGCUUUAAUAGACCAAAUGCAUUAUAAAACCUAUGAGGAUGCACAAGAGAAAUGUAUUGAAAAGCGUGAUGAUGGUCUUUACUACUGCCAUCGUUAUCAAAAAAAAUAUAAAGACUUAAAUGAUGCAUUAAUAGUUCAUAAUAUUGAUUAAAAUGUUUAAUUUAAAAAAUGUACAAGUGAAUUUGUUUUAAAGAAAUUACUAUUCACAUUAUUCCAGUUCCCAUGUAAGUCAUAAACAAUUCGACAGAAUGGCAAAAUAUCUUAACAGUUUUUGACAAAAAUAUACAGCUUCUAUCACAAAUAAGAUACAAUAACUUUUUUCAUACCUCGAUAAUCUUCCUGAAAGAAAAAUUAUUCAAUUU